Molecule: transfer RNA, 66 nt
Filed under: Marmota monax (woodchuck)
Lineage: Eukaryota; Metazoa; Chordata; Mammalia; Rodentia; Sciuridae
Description: tRNA.Ala
Rfam family: tRNA (bases 6-61)
About the family: Transfer RNA (tRNA) molecules are approximately 80 nucleotides in length. Their secondary structure includes four short double-helical elements and three loops (D, anti-codon, and T loops). Further hydrogen bonds mediate the characteristic L-shaped molecular structure. tRNAs have two regions of fundamental functional importance: the anti-codon, which is responsible for specific mRNA codon recognition, and the 3' end, to which the tRNAs corresponding amino acid is attached (by aminoacyl-tRNA synthetases). tRNAs cope with the degeneracy of the genetic code in two manners: having more than one tRNA (with a specific anti-codon) for a particular amino acid; and 'wobble' base-pairing, i.e. permitting non-standard base-pairing at the 3rd anti-codon position.
Source: RNAcentral
GGUAAAGCUUAGUGGUAGAGCACUUGCUUAGCAUGUAAGAGGUCCUGGGUUUGAUCCCCGGCAUCA